This 218-nucleotide ribosomal RNA is filed under the name uncultured bacterium. RNAcentral's name for it is "partial 16S ribosomal RNA". It matches the Rfam family "Bacterial small subunit ribosomal RNA", at positions 113 to 334 of the family's 1533-position model. The record is from RNAcentral.
UAACAUCGGAACGUGCCCUGUAGUGGGGGAUGACUAGUCGAAAGAUUAGCUAAUACCGCAUACGACCUGAGGGUGAAAGUGGGGGACCGCAAGGCCUCAUGCUAUAGGAGCGGCCGAUGUCUGAUUAGCUAGUUGGUGAGGUAAAGGCUCACCAAGGCGACGAUCAGUAGCUGGUCUGAGAGGACGAUCAGCCACACUGGGACUGAGACACGGCCCAG